RNAcentral lists this small nucleolar RNA (125 nucleotides) under Gossypium hirsutum (cotton). Its description in RNAcentral is "Plant small nucleolar RNA R71". It matches the Rfam family "Plant small nucleolar RNA R71". Rfam says of the family: R71 is a member of the C/D box family of snoRNAs containing the C (UGAUGA) and D (CUGA) box motifs. Multiple nearly identical copies of this snoRNA have been identified in Arabidopsis, and it is thought to function as a 2'-O-ribose methylation guide for 18S ribosomal RNA. The record is from Rfam by way of RNAcentral. Lineage: Eukaryota; Viridiplantae; Streptophyta; Magnoliopsida; Malvales; Malvaceae.
AUGCCAUGAUGAGCGCAUUUCAGUAACAAAUCCUUGAAUCACUCCCAUGCAUCAUAAAGAAUUUCUCAGCCAGUUCUUGCCAUGUUGAUACCGAAUUAGGUGGUAAGGAAUUCAACUAUGAUCAU